RNAcentral lists this ribosomal RNA (253 nucleotides) under uncultured bacterium. RNAcentral describes it as "partial 16S ribosomal RNA". It matches the Rfam family "Bacterial small subunit ribosomal RNA", at positions 524 to 776 of the family's 1533-position model. The record is from RNAcentral.
UACGAAGGGGGCUAGCGUUGCUCGGAAUCACUGGGCGUAAAGGGUGCGUAGGCGGACAUUUAAGUCAGGGGUGAAAUCCCAGAGCUCAACUCUGGAACUGCCUUUGAUACUGGGUGUCUUGAGUGUGAGAGAGGUAUGUGGAACUCCGAGUGUAGAGGUGAAAUUCGUAGAUAUUCGGAAGAACACCAGUGGCGAAGACGACAUACUGGCUCAUUACUGACGCUGAGGCUCGAAAGCGUGGGGAGCAAACAGG